RNAcentral lists this ribosomal RNA (1460 nucleotides) under Euglena archaeoplastidiata. Its description in RNAcentral is "bacterial SSU rRNA". It matches the Rfam family "Bacterial small subunit ribosomal RNA". Lineage: Eukaryota; Euglenozoa; Euglenophyceae; Euglenales; Euglenaceae. The record is from RNAcentral.
AGAGUUUGAUCCUUGCUCAGGAUGAACGCUGGCGGCAUGCUUAAUACAUGCAAGACAAAUGGUCCUUACGGACAAUGUCGGACGGGUGAGUAAUGUGUAAGAAUCAACAUUUGGGUGGGGGACAACAGAUGGAAACGUUUGCUAAUACCCCAUAAUACUAUUUAGUUAAAGAAUUUCGCCCAGAUAUGAGCUUGCAUCUGAUUAGCUAGUUGGUUAGGUAAGAGCUAACCAAGGCUUUGAUCAGUAGCUGGUUUGAGAAGAUGAUCAGCCACACUGGGACUGAGACACGGAACAGACUCCUACGGGAGGCAGCAGUAGGGAAUAUUUCGCAAUGGGUGAAAGCCUGACGAAGCAAUGCCGCGUGGAGGAAUUAAGGCCUUUGGGUCGUAAACUCCUUUUCUCAUUGAAGAAGUUCUGACGGUAUUUGAGGAAUAAGCAUCGGCAAUUUUCGUGCCAGCAGCCGCGGUAAUACGAGAGAUGCAAGCGUUAUCCGGAAUUAUUGGGCGUAAAGAGUUUGUAGGUGGUUAAAUGUGUUUAAUGUUAAAACUUAGAACUCAACUCUAAAAUGGCAUUAAAAACUAUUUGACUUGAGUAUGAUAGAGGUAAAGGGAAUUCCCAGUGUAGCGGUGAAAUGCGUAGAUCUUGGGAAGAACACCAGUGGCGAAAGCGCUUUGCUAGGUUAAUACUGACACUGAGAAACGAAAGCUAAGGUAGCAAACAAGAUUAGAUACCUUGGUAGUCUUAGCUGUAAACUAUGGAUACUAAGUGGUGCUUUUUGUACUGCUGUAGCUAACGCGUUAAGUAUCCCGCCUGGGGAGUACGCUUGCAAAAGUGAAACUCAAAGGAAUUGACGGGGGCCCGCACAAGCGGUGGAACAUGCGAUUUAAUACGAUGCUACACGAAAAACCUUACCAGGAUUUGACAUGCUAGGAAGUUUUUCGAAAGAUAAAUGUGCCUCUUGAGGAGCCUAGACACAGCUGGUGCAUGGCUGUCGUCAGCUCGUGUCGUGAGAUGUUGGGUUAAGUCCCGUAACGAGCGCAACCCUCGUUUUUAGUUGUCUUUUCGAGAUCUAAAGAGACUGCCGGUUAUAAAUCGGAGGAAGGUGGGGAUGACGUCAAGUCAUCAUGCCGUUUAUAUCCUGGGCUAUACGCGUGUUACAAUGGUUAAGACAAUGAGUUGCGAAUCCGCGAGGAUAGUGCUAAUCUCAAAAACUUAAUCUUAGUUCGGAUUGUAGGCUGCAACUCGUCUGCAUGAAGGUGGAAUCGCUAGUAAUCGCCAGUCAGCUAUAUGGCGGUGAAUUCGUUCCCGGGCCUUGUACACACCGCCCGUCACAUCAUGGAAGUUGGCCAUGCCCGAAGGUGUUAUCUUAACUUUAUAGAGAGAGACACUUAAGGCCGGGUUAGUGACUAAGAUGAAGUCGUAACAAGGUAGCCGUACUGGAAGGUGCGGCUGGAACAACU